AUUGCAAGCCGCCUUAUCGCUCCGCGCAUCUUGUGCGGGGAGGAAAGUCCGGACAGCACAGAGCACCGUACUUCCUAACGGGAAGGCUCCGGGUAACACCGGGGACAGAUAGUGCCACAGAAAACAUACCGCCCCGACUUGCAAAGCUCGUCGGGGUAAGGGUGAAAAGGCGAGGUAAGAGCUCACCGGUCGGGUGGUGACAUCCGACGCAUGGUAAACCUUACGGGCUGAAAGGUCAAAUAAGCACCGGAUAUGAAGCUGCUCGUUUCUGUCCCGUGGGAGCAAUCCCCGGGCGCCGGUGUGGGUAGACCGCAAGAUCUUCGUCGUGAGGCGAAGACCAGAUAAAUGAUAAGGGCCUGUGCCUCGUGCACGGGUACAGAAUCCGGCUUACAGGCUUGCUUCUUUU
RNAcentral lists this RNase P RNA (406 nucleotides) under Bacteroidota bacterium. Its description in RNAcentral is "RNase P RNA component class A". It matches the Rfam family "Bacterial RNase P class A". Rfam says of the family: Ribonuclease P (RNase P) is a ubiquitous endoribonuclease, found in archaea, bacteria and eukarya as well as chloroplasts and mitochondria. Its best characterised activity is the generation of mature 5'-ends of tRNAs by cleaving the 5'-leader elements of precursor-tRNAs. Lineage: Bacteria; Pseudomonadati; Bacteroidota. The record is from RNAcentral.